GAAGCCCUCGCUGAUGCAGAGGAAAGGUGUGAGGGGCUCAUUAAAGCAAAAAUCCAACUCAGGGUCAAACUUAAAGAGACAGCCGAGGACUGGAGGAUGAGGAGGAAAUGAACGCUGAGCUGACUGACAAGAAGAGGAAGUUGGAGGACGAGUGCUCUGAGCUGAAGAAGGAUAUUGAUGACUUAGAGCUGACCCUGGCCAAAGUGGAAAAGGAGAAACAUGCCACUGAGAACAAGAGGAACUGGCUGCUCAAGAUGAGUCCAUUGCCAAGUUGACCAAAAAAAACAAAGCCCUCCAAGAGGCCCAUCAGUUGACCCUCGAUGACCUGCAGGCAGAGGAAGACAAAGUUAACAGCCCAACGAAGGCCAAGACCAAGCUGGAGCAGCAAGUGGACGAUAUUGAAGGUACACUGGAGCAAGAAAGGAAGCUCCGUAUGGAUCUUGAGUGAGCUAAAAGAAACCUCGAGGGAAAUCUGAACCUGGCCCACGAAACCGUCAUGGAUCUUCCAUGAAAGGCGGCAAGAAGCAGCUCCAGAGACUAGAGGUUCGGGGGCUGGAGGUGGAGGUUUAGGUGGAGCAGAAACGUGGAUCUGUGUCUGUAAAGGGUGUCCGCAAGAAUGAACCUAAAGUGAAGGAGCUGACUUAUCAGGAGGAGCAAGCCAACACUCACCUGGCCAGGAACAGGAAGGUUCAGCAUGAGCUUGAGGAAGCUCAGGAGCGCGCUGACAUCGCAGAGUCGCA
Long non-coding RNA from Neolamprologus brichardi, 740 nucleotides. RefSeq lists it as uncharacterized. The record is from RefSeq and is a predicted model, not a curated record. Lineage: Eukaryota; Metazoa; Chordata; Actinopteri; Cichliformes; Cichlidae.